GCCUUCGUGGUGUAAUGGUCAGCACGCUCGACGCGUAACCGAGAGGUCCGUGGUUCAAAUCCCGGCAAAGGCG
RNAcentral lists this transfer RNA (73 nucleotides) under Stegodyphus mimosarum. It matches the Rfam family "tRNA". Rfam says of the family: Transfer RNA (tRNA) molecules are approximately 80 nucleotides in length. Their secondary structure includes four short double-helical elements and three loops (D, anti-codon, and T loops). Lineage: Eukaryota; Metazoa; Arthropoda; Arachnida; Araneae; Eresidae. The record is from Rfam by way of RNAcentral.